AGGAAGCUAAAUUUGGGCACAACCAGA
Molecule: non-coding RNA, 27 nt
Filed under: Mus musculus (house mouse)
Lineage: Eukaryota; Metazoa; Chordata; Mammalia; Rodentia; Muridae
Source: RNAcentral